Long non-coding RNA from Haliotis rubra (blacklip abalone), 152 nucleotides. RefSeq lists it as uncharacterized. NCBI's taxonomy places the organism in Eukaryota, Metazoa, Mollusca, Gastropoda, Lepetellida, Haliotidae. The record is from RefSeq and is a predicted model, not a curated record. The transcript is spliced from 3 exons.
AACAUCAACAUGUGGAUGUGUUCACGGUUUUCAUAAAAUUAUGAUAGGAAUUUUUUGGGAAAAAAAUCCAAGCAACAAAAUUCAGUUACCCUUCCCCUGCUGUUAUCUUUGACGGAGGUGAGUUGCCAGAUAGAUUAAUUGAUUCGAAAGGA